AAUAGUUUGGUGGAAUAAAGUAAAUAUUUAUUUUAAUUAAAUUUUUUAAGUAAGAAAUUAAAGGUAAAAUUUUUAUUUUUUUAAAUUAAAAAUUAUGAUGAAAUUUAUUAUCUUUAAAAAUAAGGAUUUAAACUAGGAUUAGAUACCCUAUUAUUCUUUAUUAUAUUAAUUGCCAGGGUAGUAAAAUUUUUUAAACCUAAAGAAUUUGGCGGUACUUUAUUCUUACUGGAGGAACCUGCUCCUGGAUCGAUAAUCCACGUUUAAAUGUACAUGUUUUGGUUUUCAGUUUGUAUACCGCCGUUGUCAGAUUAUUUUUAAAAAAUAUAAUCUAAUUAAUAGUUAAUUAGGACUUCAGGUCAAGGUGCAGCUUAUAAACAUGGGGGUAGUGGGUUACAAUAAAUUAAAAUUACAUGGAUUAAUUAGUGUAAAUUAGUUAUGAAGGUGGAUUUAGUAGUAAAUUAAGAAUAAAAUUCUUUUUUGAAAUGAGCUCUGAAGUGUGUACACAUCGCCCGUCGCUCUCUCCCUUA
This 527-nucleotide ribosomal RNA is filed under the name Triops australiensis. RNAcentral describes it as "partial small subunit ribosomal RNA". The stretch from base 176 to 527 matches the Rfam family "Microsporidia small subunit ribosomal RNA", at positions 752 to 1213 of the family's 1311-position model. The record is from RNAcentral. Lineage: Eukaryota; Metazoa; Arthropoda; Branchiopoda; Notostraca; Triopsidae.